This 31-nucleotide small RNA is filed under the name Arabidopsis thaliana (thale cress). RNAcentral describes it as "ATSL210250". The record is from RNAcentral. Lineage: Eukaryota; Viridiplantae; Streptophyta; Magnoliopsida; Brassicales; Brassicaceae.
AUUUGCUUCUUCUUCUUCCUCUUCCUCUUCU